Molecule: non-coding RNA, 76 nt
Organism: Phrynosoma platyrhinos (Desert horned lizard)
Lineage: Eukaryota; Metazoa; Chordata; Lepidosauria; Squamata; Phrynosomatidae
Source: the annotation of a GenBank genome assembly
GCCAGUGUGACUUAGUGGUUUGAGUGCUAGACUGUGACUCUGGAGACCAAAGUUUGAUUCUCACUCAGCUCAGCCA